CACGUAGUUAGCCGAGACUUAUUCCUGAGGUACCGUCCUUGCUCUUCCCUCAGAAAAGGGCUUUACGAUCCGAAGACCUUCAUCGCCCACGCGGCGUCGCUGCAUCUGGGUUUCCCCCAUUGUGCAAUAUUCC
This 133-nucleotide ribosomal RNA is filed under the name uncultured bacterium. Its description in RNAcentral is "partial 16S ribosomal RNA". The record is from RNAcentral.